GGGCUCGUGGUCUAGCUGGUUAUGACAUCGCCUUUACACGGCGAAGGCCACCGGUUCGAAUCCGGUCGAGCCCA
Molecule: transfer RNA, 74 nt
Filed under: Candidatus Methanoliparum thermophilum
Lineage: Archaea; Methanobacteriati; Methanobacteriota; Candidatus Methanoliparia; Candidatus Methanoliparales; Candidatus Methanoliparaceae
Also listed under: 1 other name
Description: tRNA-Val
Rfam family: tRNA
About the family: Transfer RNA (tRNA) molecules are approximately 80 nucleotides in length. Their secondary structure includes four short double-helical elements and three loops (D, anti-codon, and T loops). Further hydrogen bonds mediate the characteristic L-shaped molecular structure. tRNAs have two regions of fundamental functional importance: the anti-codon, which is responsible for specific mRNA codon recognition, and the 3' end, to which the tRNAs corresponding amino acid is attached (by aminoacyl-tRNA synthetases). tRNAs cope with the degeneracy of the genetic code in two manners: having more than one tRNA (with a specific anti-codon) for a particular amino acid; and 'wobble' base-pairing, i.e. permitting non-standard base-pairing at the 3rd anti-codon position.
Source: RNAcentral